CGAGGCCGAGCGAAUCCCAAAAAUAACGUCCCAGUUCGGAUUGCAGUCUGCAACUCGACUGCAUGAAGCUGGAAUCGCUAGUAAUCGCGAAUCAGAAUGUCGCGGUGAAUACGUUCCCGGGUCUCGUACACACCGCCCGUCACACCAUGAGAGUCGGGAACACCCGAAGUCCGUAGUCUAACCGCAAGGGGGGCGCGGCCGAAGGUGGGUCCGAUAAUUGGGGUGAAGUCGUAACAAGGUACC
Molecule: ribosomal RNA, 243 nt
Filed under: uncultured bacterium
Lineage: Bacteria
Description: partial 16S ribosomal RNA
Rfam family: Bacterial small subunit ribosomal RNA
Source: RNAcentral